UUUCCGUAGGUGAACCUGCGGAAGGAUCAUUAGUGAAUUUAGGACUGCCGUCAGGCGUCCAACCCCUCACUUUCUAACUCUGUGCACUAUGUUGGUCUAUUCAAACUGGAACGAGUUCUUAGAAUUCUAUUACAAACUGAAUACGAUCUUUCACACUUUUUUAAACAUCAGUCAAUGAAUGUCAUCAAAUACAAAACAAAAAAAAACUUUCAACAACGGAUCUCUUGGCUCUCGCAUCGAUGAAGAACGCAGC
Molecule: unclassified non-coding RNA, 253 nt
Filed under: uncultured fungus
Lineage: Eukaryota; Fungi
Description: sequence contains ITS1, 5.8S rRNA gene
Rfam family: 5.8S ribosomal RNA (bases 205-253)
Source: RNAcentral